Molecule: ribosomal RNA, 468 nt
Filed under: uncultured bacterium
Lineage: Bacteria
Description: partial 16S ribosomal RNA
Rfam family: Bacterial small subunit ribosomal RNA
Source: RNAcentral
GACGAACGCUGGCGGCGUGCUUAACACAUGCAAGUCGAACGGAAAGGCCCUGCUUUUGUGGGGUGCUCGAGUGGCGAACGGGUGAGUAACACGUGAGUAACCUGCCCUUGACUGUGGGAUAACUUCUGGAAACUGGGGCUAAUACCGCAUAGAAGAUCCUGCACCAUGGUGGGGAUAGGUAAGAUACGGCGGUUGGGGAUGGACUCGCGGCUUAUCAGCUUGUUGGUGGGGUAGUGGAUUACAAAGGCUUCGACGGGUAGCCUGCCUGAGAGGGUGACCGGCCACAAUGGGACUGAGAUACGGCCCAGACUCCUACGGGAGGCAGCAGUGGGGAGUAUUGCACAAUGGGCGGAAGCCUGAUGUAGCAACGCCGCGUGCGGGAUGACGGCCUUCGGGUUGUAAACCGCUUUCGCCUGUGACGAAGCGUUAGUGACGGUAAUGGGUAAAAAAGCACCGGCUAACUACGUG